GACGAACGCUGGCGGCGUGCCUAAUACAUGCAAGUUGAGCGCUGAAGGUUGGUACUUGUACCAACUGGAUGAGCAGCGAACGGGUGAGUAACGCGUGGGAAUCUGCCUUUGAGCGGGGGACAACAUUUGGAAACGAAUGCUAAUACCGCAUAAAAACUUUAAACACAAGUUUUAAGUUUGAAAGAUGCAAUUGCAUCACUCAAAGAUGAUCCCGCGUUGUAUUAGCUAGUUGGUGAGGUAAAGGCUCACCAAGGCGAUGAUACAUAGCCGACCUGAGAGGGGGAUCGGCCACAUUGGGACUGAGACACGGCCCAAACUCCUACGGGAGGCAGCAGUAGGGAAUCUUCGGCAAUGGACGAAAGUCUGACCGAGCAACGCCGCGCGAGUGAAGAAGGUUUUCGGAUCGUAAAACUCUGUUGGUAGAGAAGAACGUUGGUGAGAGUGGAAAGCUCAUCAAGUGACGGUAACUACCCAGAAAGGGACGGCUAACUACGUG
This 496-nucleotide ribosomal RNA is filed under the name uncultured bacterium. RNAcentral describes it as "partial 16S ribosomal RNA". It matches the Rfam family "Bacterial small subunit ribosomal RNA", at positions 28 to 507 of the family's 1533-position model. The record is from RNAcentral.